Molecule: ribosomal RNA, 291 nt
Filed under: uncultured eukaryote
Lineage: Eukaryota
Description: partial 18S ribosomal RNA
Rfam family: Eukaryotic small subunit ribosomal RNA
Source: RNAcentral
GGUUGAUCCUGCCAGUAGUCAUAUGCUUGUCUCAAAGACUAAGCCAUGCAUGUCUAAGUAUAAACACCUUUAUACUGCGAAACUGCGAACGGCUCAUUAUAUCAGUUAUAAUCUACUUGAUCGUAUCCUCUUACUUGGAUAACCGUAGUAAUUCUAGAGCUAAUACAUGCAAAAGAUCCCGACUGGUGACGGAAGGGAUGUAUUUAUUAGGUCCAAAAUCAAUGCUGGCCAUUCGGUCAGGAAAGUUGAUGAUUCAUAAUAACUAAACGAAGCGCAGGCCUCGCGUCGGCG